GGCGGGUUUCGCUCUCAGUUAAUGGAGAACGGGCGAAGGGAAGAGUGAGUGUGUUAUUAUGUCCCGAUACAACCGGUGCGGUGGAGAAACCAAGGUCUAUGUAGGUAACUUGGGAACAGGUGCCGGUAAAGGGGAACUAGAGCGUGCAUUCAGCUACUACGGACCACUGAGGACAGUCUGGAUAGCACGGAAUCCCCCUGGUUUUGCUUUUGUGGAGUUUGAGGAGCCUCGAGAUGCUGAAGAUGCUGUUCGUGGUUUGGAUGGCAAGGUAAUUUGCGGCUCACGUGUUCGAGUGGAAUUAUCAACAGGAAUGCCACGCCGCUCACGCUUUGAGCGGCCACCAGCACGCCGACCCUUUGACCCAAAUGAUCGGUGUUAUGAAUGUGGAGAAAAGGGUCAUUAUGCUUAUGAUUGUCAUCGCUAUAGCCGACGCAGAAGGAGCAGGUCUAGGACUAGAUCACGUUCACGCUCACGGGGAAGAAGGUAUACCCGUUCACACAGCCGUAGUCGUGGCAGAAGGUCCAGGUCUUUUUCUCCUCGGAGGUCCAGGUCUUUCUCUCCAAGAAGGUCUCGGUCAUUCUCUCCUAAAAGGUCCAGGUCUAGAUCAAGGUCACGGUCCAGAUCCAGGUCUCUGUCGAGACAGAGAAGCAGGUCUCUAUCUCCCUUAAGAAGAUCCCAGUCUGGAUCACCGGUUCGAAGUCGCUCAAAGUCAAGAUCACUUUCACCAAAGCGAAGAUUAUCCCAACGUAAUGAUGCUGUUACAAAUACUUCCCAUGAACACCCCUUGGCACAAAAGGAAAAGUCUAACAUAUAUGAGUCCUCCAGGAGAGAUGUCAGAGAGAGGGAGGAUCGGCAUGGACCUGCAUCUUUGGAUCCAGCAGCUUCAUAACUCUGUUAGCCAAAACUAAACCAAACCAGAGAAAAGCUGAACUGGGAGAACUGGCCACUCCCCUUUCAUUGUGCAAGUAUUUUUGUUUGUUUCAGGAAAAAUGUUUCAUAUUAAUGUCCAUUAUAAUCAAACUAGCCCAAAAGCUGUCCAAAACGAGACCUCCUGAAGUCUGUGUUUAGGAAUCCUCUGGGAGGAAAAAAAAACAAGAACAUAACCUUGUUAAAGGAACAGCAUCAUCACAGUUAAUAAACCAUCGUACACCAUCUGAAAACUCUCGUAGAAGUGCAAGUCCUGACCGAAAUGACUAAGUUGCAAAGCAGAACUUUAGAAUGAAUGUUUUUUGUUUACAUUCUUUGAAGUUGUAUGGGAAUCUUAAUUCUUUGUGGGAUUUUGAUUUGAUUUUAAAUGUAAGGGCUUAUUUCUAAAUUAAUUUUUCAUGCUUCCUUUCCCCCUUUGUGGAAAAUAUUUGGCGCGGGUAGGCCUGAUUUUUUUUUAAAGAAUACACAUCUUAGAGUAGAUACUAAAUCUAGUAAUCUGCAUUUAUUUUCCUGCAUAACUGUGUUGUAUUCUUUUGUUCUAAUAUCAGAUUCCUCUCAGACCUGUUGAAGUGUAUUACAUUUUUGUAUCUGGAAAUAGAAAUAAAUAAAUUGUCCUGAGAA
Chiloscyllium plagiosum (whitespotted bambooshark) is the source of this 1548-nucleotide non-coding RNA. NCBI's taxonomy places the organism in Eukaryota, Metazoa, Chordata, Chondrichthyes, Orectolobiformes, Hemiscylliidae. The record is from RefSeq and is a predicted model, not a curated record.